CUGGUCACACUGCUACCUGCACAACAAAAACAACGCACAGCCUUAGCUACCAAAUAUUUUUGUAUCAGAAUUUCACCUACUCUUUUAGGACUUUUAGAAAAAUUAAAACCUUCUAAAGAUACCACCUACCGUCCGUAGGUGCCAUGAACCAUUCAUAAUCCAUAGUGGAAUUAUGCCUACGUACGUCCUUGCACGCUCAACGGGACUGCCAGUCAAGGUAUGACUUCGAUGAUGUGAAGCCAGGUCGCACUCCUUCCUUCAUUGUAGGCCAUGAGUGCUCCUCCUUCCACCCUUUAGUCGCUUUUUACGCCAAGCCGGGAACGCUGAGGUAGUAUUCUUACCACCCACCACACUGGACACCUGUUUGGGCUUAGCCACACACUCUGUGGCCAUCUCGUCUGAUCGGUCUCGUUCCAUCAUCUUAACUGGGUUAGGUGGUAGUCCAAUCAUUUGUUUUGGCACUCUGCCCAAACCGCCAACUCAAACGUUUCACAGUUUUUUUAACUGACAAUAUCCGUCUGAUCGUAUAAGAGCUUGUAUAAGAGUUUGUAUAAGAGUUUUUGCUUGUUUACAUGAUCCGCUGUGAGCUUUCAAAGUAAACAUAUGUUUUAACAUAUUUGGCGUUACGGUUUCGUGUUUGUUGAUUGGCCGUUAAUUGAAACAAAGCAAAACAAAUUGAUUCAACAACUUCUGUUAACUUUAGUAAAUGAAUUAUAUCCAACUUCGACCAACUGUAAAGUCUGUUGUACUUUUUAGAUGAAAUGUCAAAUGAGCCCGCAAAGAGAGAGCCCUUGUUUUAAAAGAAUUGGUAUUUGGUACAAUUUUAAAGAACCGCCAGCUUUUUGAAAUGGAAUCUGAAAGGAUUACUAGAAAAUUAACUAGUUUUAUGAGCCGUCUUACAGAAAAAUGAAUUUUGCCGUGGAACUUCAGGCGGGAGUGGAGGCCGAGCUGGACAUUGAGCUCUUCCGUGAGCCACUGAACCGUGCCGGUGGCGCCAACUACGGAACGGGCAUCCGGGAUAACUGAGCGGCCUCCAAGUUACUUUAUAUAUACAUUUUUUUUUUUGCAACUCUUAACUGCUUACCAAACUGCUCCUUUCUCUUUAAUUAUUAUGAAUUAAUUUUAUGAAAUUUAAAAACUGUACAUUUUAUGAAAUAUUAUACAAGCAAUUGUACAAUUACUGGGUCCUCUUUUCGUAUCAUCCGUAGUGGCAUUAAGGAUUCAAAAAUGGUACAAGAAAAAUCAAUACCAAAUUUCAAAAGCGUAUGUAAAAGCGAUCGAUAAAAAUUCGAUGCCAUGUGUUUAUAGUGGAACUGCUGAAUUUCUUUGAUGAUAAGACAAAAAUUUUGCUCACUUGAUACUAAAUACUAAAGUGGACAGAUAUGCCAGAAUUCACAUUAGAAAAUAAAAAAAAACUGUUCGUCUA
This is a long non-coding RNA of Drosophila sechellia, 1426 nucleotides long. RefSeq lists it as uncharacterized. NCBI's taxonomy places the organism in Eukaryota, Metazoa, Arthropoda, Insecta, Diptera, Drosophilidae. The record is from RefSeq and is a predicted model, not a curated record. The transcript has 3 exons.